RNA transcript from Panicum virgatum (switchgrass), 8848 nucleotides. It is a transcript of the gene named disease resistance protein RGA5-like, with no coding region annotated. The transcript has 23 exons. NCBI's taxonomy places the organism in Eukaryota, Viridiplantae, Streptophyta, Magnoliopsida, Poales, Poaceae. The record is from RefSeq and is a predicted model, not a curated record.
GGUAAAACGACUCCAUUUUGCUAGUGGAAAACAAUCGGCCUCGUGGGUUGGCCGCUGUCGGCUAGUGGACGCUUUCUUCACCUUUCGGAUCUCCCGUUCUUGCAUUAUUGCUGCACCUUGAUUUGAAGAUGGGCUGAGCAACUAAAAGUCGUCUCUGCUCUGAUUCAAUUUGGGGAGAAAUGGAAGCUGCAGUGAGUUCUUCCCUGGGGGCCAUGGGUCCCCUUCUUAGGAAGCUAGAUCUGCUACUGGCUCCAGAAUAUCGCCUGCGGAAGCCACUGAGGGACGGAAUCGAGCUCCUUAAGGAAGAUCUACAAGAAAUAAGCUCCGACCUGGUGGAGCUAUCGACGCUGGAAGCUCCCACCCGGAGGGCCAAGUGCUGGAUGGAAGAGGCGCGGGAACUGUCCUACCUUAUCGAAGACUUCGUCGACGACAUGAUGAGAACGCGCUCAGACGCCGAUUCCAAGAUGAGAUCUGUCUUCCGGCAUAGGGUUGGUCGCGUUAAGAUUGCUCAGCUUCCCGAGCCGCCGAGGCGCAGCACAAGGAUUGCCAGGAUCACCCAACUGAGGGCUCUACUGCAACAGGCGAGCGAGCGGCCCGAAAGGUACCCGCUUGACGCUUGUUGCUCCAGCUCCAGCUCCAGCUCCAGCCAUAUGAUUACCGGGCACGGGCGAGCACCGACCUUAUAUGGAGAUUCGGCCAAUCUUUUCGGAAUCGAGGACUCCAGGGUCAAACUAAUUGAGAUGCUUACUGUGGAAACAGAGCAGCGACUGAAAGUGGUCUCCAUUGUUGGACCUGCAGGAGUUGGUAAGACAACUCUUGCUAAAGAAAUUUUCCAUGAACUAGGGGGCCAAUUUGAGUUGCGAGCAUUUGUACGUGCAUCACGAAAGCUUGACAUGAGAAGGCUUCUUGGGAGCAUUCUCUCCCAAUUUGGGAAACUACCCUCUGUUUCCGGUUCUGUGCAAACCCUCAUUGACAAUAUUCAGGAACAGCUCAAAGAUAAGAGGUGCUUCGUUGUAAUUGAUGAUUUAUGGGAAGAAACAUCAUGGGACAUUGUAAGCGCUGCUUUCCCCGAGAGUAAUAAUUGCAGUAGAAUUGUAGCAACUACAGAAAAGAUGAAUGUGGCUCUCAAGUCCUGUGGUUAUAUGCCUGAUAAUAUUUUGAAGAUGAAAUCUCUUGGCAUCCAAGACUCUGCAAACUUAUUCUUCAAUCAAGUUUUUGGCUCUGAACAACAAUGCCCUGAUGAAUUGAAGGAAGUUUCAUAUGGUAUUAUUAGAAAAUGUGGUGGUCUUCCACUGGCCCUCAUAAAUUUAUCUGCUCUUUUAGCAAGCCGAUUAGACUACUCAGAGAUAUGGUACCAUGUGCAUGAUUGUUUAUGCUCCAUUCUGAAUAGAAGUCAUACAAUUGAAGAGAUCCAGACAAAAAUAUUGAACCUGAGUUACAAUAGUCUUCCUCGUUGUUUGAAAACUUGCCUGCUAUAUUUCAAUAUGUACCCAGAGGGUUACAUAGUGUGGAAGGUUCAUGCCGUGAAGCAAUGGAUAGCAGAAGGUUUUAUCAAUGCAACGGAAGGAAAAGAUACAGAAGAAAUUGCAGAGGGCUAUUUUGACGAGCUUGUCAACAGGGGAAUGAUCCAACCUAUGGAACUUGGAGACAGUAAUGAGGUAUUGUCCUGUACAGUGCACCAUAUUAUACUUGAUCUUAUUUCUCAUAAUUCCAAGGAAGACGAAUUUCUUGCUGCAAUAGAUUACUCUCAAACUAUAACAGGACUAUCUCCGAAAGCCCAUCGACUAUCCUUCCGAUUCAGUACUGCCAAAUAUGCAAAGCAACCAGCAGGAAUAACAAUGCCACAAUUACGAUCGCUUGGUUUCUUUGGAGUCCAUAAAUGUAUGCCUUCAAUUGUGGAAUUCAAGCAUCUCCGAGUUCUAAUCCUCGAUUGUUGGGGCGAUCAUGAUGGACAUAUGAGUUUGAACCUCUCACGAAUUUGCAGAUUAUUUCAGCUGAAAUAUCUGAAGAUUUCAAGUGAUGUCAUGGUUGAACUACCAGCCCAGAUGCAAGGUUUACAUUAUUUGGAGACUAUGGAAAUAGAUGCAAGAAUAUCUUCAGUUCCAUCAGAUAUUGUCCAUCUUCCGAGUUUGCUGCAUCUUGGUCUCCAAGAUGCAACAAAGCUACCGGAUGGGAUUGGCCGCAUGAAGUCUUUACGUACACUGUGGUAUUUCGACCUCGGACAUAACUCUGAACACAAUAUGCGGAGCCUAGGGAAGCUGACAAAUCUCCAGCAUCUUCAUCUAUCCUGUUUUGCAACUCUGUCUGGUGGCCAACUGAAGAGAAAGCUGGCACCUCUAGUUUCUUCACUUGGGAAAUUCAGCAAUCUCAAAUCUCUCACCCUGAAUCCGGAUGCCUUAAGUUCAGCCAUUUUCUUUGAUGUCUCAUUCGGUAUCUCCUCUCCUCCCAUGUUGCUUCAGAGACUUGAGUUGUUGCCACCAAUUUGCUUCUUUGCCAGACUUCCAACUUGGAUUGGUGAACGGCACAAACUCCGCAUUUUAAAAAUCGUAGUUAAAGAACUGCAGGGGAAUGAUAUCAAUAACAUUGCCUUAUUACCUUCCCUCGUAGUGCUCUCACUGUAUAUACGAACACCUCCAACUGGACCCAUCAUCUUUAGCAACAUGGCAUUCCCAGCUCUCAAGCAUUUCAAAUUCACAUGCGGUGCGAUGAGCUUAGCUUUUCAUGCUGGAGCCAUGCCCAAUCUUCAGAGGCUUAAGCUUUGUUUCAAUGCCCACAGACUUGAGAGCCAUUACCGAGUGCUCAAUGGCAUUGAGCACCUGUUAAACCUUCAGGAGGUCACUGGACAAAUUGGGGACCUUCAAGGUGCUGACAAAUUGGACAGGAUGGUUGCCAAGUUAUCAUUUGAGAACACCAUUAGAAAACAUCCAAGGUGUCCUAGAUUCAACAUACAAUUUGUAGAUUUCAUAGAGGAGGAUUUUCUUCCUUUAGAUAAGUUGCAUUGGAGGGAAAAGGAAGGUUCAUCAGGUGAACAUGAGAUUAAAGAGAAAGACUGCACAGAAGGUACAAACAAACACGCUGAUAGCAGGUUGUCAGAAACAAGUAGUACUCUUCCCGGCCGAACAGUAGCAAUUGAAUCUCGGGAACAAAGUCAUGUCGUAGCAGGAGGGCGUACCUUCACAAAUAAUCAGGCUUUGGAGCAUCCCCGAUUGUCUGAAACCUCAGUUUCACCAAGGAAAGAAAUUCACCUUCAAAAUUUGGAUCUUGCAAAUGAUCGAACUACGUAUUGUCGUGGUCGGAAAUCAACAGAAAUUAUGUUCAGUACACAAGUGCCAUGCUCUCCCCCUAGCUCAAGAGCACAUCACUAUUCAACCUCCCCUGUUCCAUCAAGAACAUUUGGGCAAUGCCAAGCAUCUCCUACUGCAUGGCAGGAUGAUUCGCAAAGCUCAAGCUCACCUCAACCUCUUCCGCUUCCUCCAGGCUCCCCAUCCUUGCCUUCCCGUUCUCUACAGUGGAAGAAGGGGAAGUUGCUCGGUAGUGGGACCUUUGGACAAGUAUAUCUGGGAUUCAACAGUGAAGGUGGACAAAUGUGUGCAAUUAAAGAGGUUAAGGUCAUUUCUGAUGAUUCUAACUCAAAAGAGUGUCUCAGGCAGCUAAAUCAGGAAAUUGUGCUGCUGAGUCAGCUGUCACAUCCAAACAUUGUGCAGUACUAUGGCAGUGAUCUGUCUAAUGAGACACUCUCAGUCUAUCUCGAAUAUGUUUCUGGGGGCUCUAUCCACAAGUUACUUCAAAAAAAUGGUCCAUUCGGGGAGGCAGUUCUUCGGAGUUACACAGCACAAAUCCUUUCUGGCCUUGCAUACUUGCAUGGGCGGAAUACAGUGCAUAGGGAUAUCAAAGGGGCAAACAUACUCGUCGAUCCUAAUGGUGAUAUCAAACUUGCCGACUUUGGUAUGGCCAAGCAUAUAUCAGCGUAUACAGAUAUCAGAUCAUUCAAAGGGAGCCCAUACUGGAUGGCACCAGAGGUUAUUAUGAAUAGUAAUGGCUACAGCCUUUCAGUUGAUAUUUGGAGCCUUGGCUGCACCAUUCUUGAGAUGGCAGCAGCAAAACCUCCCUGGAGUCAGUACGAAGGGGUGGCUGCAAUAUUUAAGAUUGGGAAUAGCAAAGACACACCUGAUAUCCCAGAUCAUCUUUCUCCCGAGGCGAAAAGCUUUCUGAAACUCUGUUUUCAGCGUGAUCCUGCUGCCCGCCCUACAGCUGCUCAGCUAAUGGAUCAUCCUUUUGUCAAGGACCAUGCUACACUUCGGAGUUCCAGAUCUGGCACCACAAGGGAUGUGUUUUCUACUUCAACCGAGGGGAAAAACACCAUGAGAGUAGGUGUUCCACAAGGAGCUGUGGGUUGGCAAGGACCCCCACAAAGUCCCUCUUCUUACAUUGUCAAGAAGAUUUUGCGGUUGGAAGUGCCAACAGAUACAUACCCUAAUUUCAAUUUUAUUGGCCGCCUUCUUGGCCCAAGGGGAAACUCUUUGAAGAGGAUUGAAGCCUCUACAGGUUGUCGUGUUUUCAUCAGAGGGAAAGGCUCAAUCAAAGAUUCUGGCAAGGAGGAACAACUUAAGGGAAGACCUGGCUAUGAACACUUGAGUGAGCCCCUCCAUAUCUUGAUUGAAGCUGAGUUGCCUGCUAAUGUGAUCGAUUCUAGACUUGCAAAGGCACAAGAGAUCCUUGAAGAGUUAUUAAAGCCAGAGGAUGAAUCACAAGACUGCUACAACAGACAGCAACUCCGGGAACUUGCCAUGUUAAAUUCGCCCCUCCGAGAGGAGAGCCCGCAUCCAGGUGGUGCUCCUCUGGCCUUCAUCAACCAAUGCGAGUCCUACUUCAUCCGGGAACGCAUCAUGGAGGAAGAAAAGAGAGUAGGUGUUCCACAAGGAGCUGUGGGUUGGCAAGGACCCCCACAAAGUCCCUCUUCUUACAUUGUCAAGAAGAUUUUGCGGUUGGAAGUGCCAACAGAUACAUACCCUAAUUUCAAUUUUAUUGGCCACCUUCUUGGCCCAAGGGGAAACUCUUUGAAGAGGAUUGAAGCCUCUACAGGUUGUCGUGUUUUCAUCAGAGGGAAAGGCUCAAUCAAAGAUUCUGGCAAGGAGGAACAACUUAAGGGAAGACCUGGCUAUGAACACUUGAGUGAGCCCCUCCAUAUCUUGAUUGAAGCUGAGUUGCCUGCUAAUGUGAUCGAUUCUAGACUUGCAAAGGCACAAGAGAUCCUUGAAGAGUUAUUAAAGCCAGAGGAUGAAUCACAAGACUACUACAAGAGACAGCAACUCCGGGAACUUGCCAUGUUAAAUUCGCCCCUCCGAGAGGAGAGCCCGCAUCCAGGUGGUGCUCCAGCAACUCCAACAGUCCAUGCCUUCACACCCUAAUUUUUCAUGAGCAAGCUUUCAUGACAGUGUUGGCAGUGCGCGACAUCCUUUACUGUACUAGCAGAAGGGGAGCGGAGGCGCGCUAUGGUGGAGGUUAUAAUGCCCGAAGCAGAUGCACGCAGUGCUGGUGGGAGUGGUGACGCUGCCGACCGUCCUUCAGUGGUUGCCUCCACUGGUGUUGUUGGUUCUUCUUCCUCAACUGCUGCAGAUUCUGCAGCAUAUGCUGAGAAGGCUAUAGCAAAACUGCCGUCGCACCUUGCUGCGGAAGCCGUCGAUCCGAAGAGGAAGGCAAAAUCCAAAGACCCGGGAUGGAAAUUUGGGUGGUGGCCUGAUCCAACAAAGAAGGACUUUGUGAAGUGCAUAUUUUGCCAGAAAACUAUUCCUGCCGAAAUCAAAAGGUUUAAGCAGCACCUUUCUAGUGGGAGUGCUGAUUGCAUCAAAUGUGAACAUGUGCCCGAAUUAGUUUCGAGAGAGAUGGAUGCUUACUUGAAGAAGAAUGCACGGACUGUGGUUGUGUCAAUGCCAUCGGAUGAAGAAGGUGAUGAAGAAGCUGAUGGAGAAGGUGAACUUGAACCUGAACCACAAGUUGCAAAACCAAGUUGUGGGACAAAGGUGAAGCAAGCAAAGAAGAGAAUUGUUCAAUCGGGCAUAACAUCAUUUGUUGUUGCUGCACCAACAAAUCCACAAACUCAAAAGCACUCAAGGUCAGUGAGUUCAUUGCUUUGCAAGUCCCCGGAAGUAGUGGUGGCAGAGAGGCAUAAAUCCAAAACCUCUCAAUCUACUCUUGAGCAUUGCACCAAAAAAGGGAAGGAGGCCAAACAAAUUGUUGAUGACCAUGUCGCUGAUUUUUUUUUUGAGAAUAAUAUUCCAUUGAACGUCAUCAACUCAAGAAGUUGGGAGAUAUUGCUCGAGUCCAUUGGGCAGUGUGGUCCGGGGUACCGCUCUCCAUCAUAUCAUGAGAUGAGGUGUCCUUUGCUUGACAGGGGUGUGGACGGGACAGCAACAUUGAGGAAGAAGCAUGAGGAGGCUUGGAAGGAAUAUGGGUGGUCACUUAUGUCCGAUGGGUGGACCGACACAAGGCAACGUCAUUUGAUCAAUUUUCUUGCCAACAGUCCAGCAGGCACCUUCUUUCUUGGUUCUGUUGACGCUUCAAGUCAAGUUGCAAAUGCAACAAUGUUGGCAGAUUUGUUGCAGAAGGAAAUUGAAAAGGUUGGGAAGGAACAUGUAGUGCAAAUAAUCACAGACAAUGGAGCUAACUUCAAGGCAGCUGGGAGGAUUCUUAUGGAAAGGAUUCCACAUUUGUUUUGGACACCUUGUGCUGCCUACUGCUUGGAUCUGUUGCUGGAGGACAUUGGUAAGAUCAAGGAGUUCAAAACUUGCAUCAAUAAUGCAAGGAAGGUGUCCAGAUUCAUCUACAAGCAUGGGAGAUUUAUUGACCAAAUGAGAGAGAAGAUAAGUGGAGAUCUUGUGAGGCCAGCUGUGACUCGCUUUGCUACCUCUUUUCUCACUUUGGCAAGUAUGCAUAUGAACAAGAAUGGUUUGAGAAAUUUAUUUGUUAGUGAUGAAUGGCAUAAUACUAAGUUCUCCAAUACUACAAAAUCUCCAAUACUACAAAAGGAAAACAAGUGGAGCAUGUUGUUCUUUCAAUGCCAUUUUGGAAAAAUAUUGAAGAUUGCCUAAGAGCUUCACAACCACUUCUUGUUGCUCUAAGGAUAGCAGAUGGAGAUGAGACACCAGCGGCUCCUGAGAUCAUGGCUGCCAUGGAUGUGGCAAGAAACACCAUAAAGGAAUCUUUGAAGCACAAUCCAAGAUUACUUGCUGAGGUACUAGAAUACUAUGGGAAGAGAUGGGAAAACCAGAUGGAGCAAAAACUCUAUGGGGCUGCCCUAUACUUGAAUCCAGCCAAGUUCUUUGCCAUAAGGGACCAAGACAGGAGACAAGCUGCAAGACCAAGAUCCAUGUUUAAUGAUGUUUUGUGGAAGAUGAUAAGUGAUGAGGAUGAACAAACAAAGAUUAGUAAGCAAGCUGAUGACUAUGAAAGGUCCGAAGGAGAUUGCUUCUCAAAGCAAGGAGCAAUAAGAGAUAGAGAUAAAAAAAAAAUCCUAUUUGUUGGUGGGGUUCAUAUGGUGGCCUAGCAUUCGAGCUCCAAAGUUUAGCAAAAAGGAUUAUUAGCCUUUAUUGUUCUGCAUCUGGGUGUGAACGUAACUGGAGUGUGUUUUCUAAUAUCCAUACCAAAAAGAGAAACAGGUUGGAGCACAAAAGGUUGAACAAGUUGGUGUAUGUUAGCUACAACCGGAAGAUGGAAAAUAGGUUUCAAAAAAUUAGAGAACUUGGUUCCAAAGGAAAGAAAAGCAACCCUCUCUUGCUUGACGAAUUUCAAUGGGACAAUGAAUGGGUCUGUGAAAGUGAUCCUGUUCAUGAAGGUGAUGAUGGUAAUAUUACUUGGAGCAACGUGGAUGAAGCUAUCGGUGCGACGGAAGGUCUCCAAGGUCGACACUUCCCUAGGGCUGCUGCUGCUCAUGCAAGUUCUAGCGCUGCCUCUGGUAGGAUGAUGACAUAUGUUUCUAAGAAGCGUCCAAGGAACCAACCAACUCCAACUCCAGUUAUCCCUGAAGAUGAUGACGGUGAUGAACAAGAUGAAGCAAUGGAGGAGGAUGACGAUUCUGCUGCUGCUGGAACUGAAGAGGAUGCAGGCUUCCAUUUGAAUGAUGAUUUACUAGAGUAGAGAUUAGAGAUUUAUCAUAAGCCUGGCCUAGUUGGCUUUUGUUAUGUAUUGAACUAUGUUUUUGGCUUUGUGUUGGACCUGGACCAUUGUUGCUUUAUCCUUCAUUGCUUCUUUAUUAGUUUGGUUUUGUACUUGUUGCUGCUGGCCUGCUACUGUGAUGCAUAAUUCAAUUUAUUGACUGUCAUAUAGUGCUCUAACUUGUUAAUUCUUUGUUAUUCCAGCUUCAACAGGACAACAACAAGUCAGCAACAAUAUGGAGUUUGCAAAGAGGAUCAGGAGCUAUGGAGUAUGGAUUAUGGAGGAUAAGGAACCAAUUUCAAGUAUUGACUCCAUAGCAGCAGAUCUGAAGGAGAACAAGAUGAUCAUCAUAGGCGAAAUGGAUGCUGUUGCAAUUGCAAAGAAGUUAAAGAAGAUUAGGAAGAUUGACAUUGUGUCCAUUGGACCUGCAAAGGAAGAAAAGAAGAAAAGAAAGAGGAGAAAAAAGAAGAAAAGAAAGAAGAGAAGAAAGAAGAGAAGAAUGAGAAGAAAGAAGAGAAGAAAUGAUAAAAUAUAAAGCAUAAUAUCAUUGUGUGACCUCUCUCUUAUCUGCAGUUGCAAUAGCUUUGAGCCUUUGACUUUGUACUGAUGUUUCUAUGUGAAGUUACCAUGUAAAAAUUAUACAACAGAGUACAAAUUAGUUAAAAAUAAAAGCACGAUUUGUGCAUCUCUUUAGCAA